AACGAACGCUGGCGGCGCGUCUUAAGCAUGCAAGUCGAACGGCAAGAGAGGAGCUUGCUUCUCUCCUAGAGUGGCGGACUGGUGAGGAACACGUGGGUAAUCUACCCUUAAGAUGGGGAUAGCUGCUAGAAAUAGCAGGUAAUACCGAAUACACUCGGCAUAUCACAAGAGGUGUUGAGGAAAGGAAGCUACGGCUUCGCUUGAGGAUGAGCUUGCGUCCCAUUAGCUAGUUGGUGAGGUAAAGGCCCACCAAGGCGACGAUGGGUAUCCGGCCUGAGAGGGUGAACGGACACAUUGGAACUGAGAUACGGCCCAAACUCCUACGGGAGGCAGCAGCUAAGAAUAUUCCGCAAUGGACGGAAGUCUGACGGAGCGACGCCGCGUGGAUGAAGAAGGCUGAAAAGUUGUAAAAUCCUUUUGUUGAUGAAGAAUAAGGGUGAGAGGGAAUGCUCAUCUGAUGACGGUAAUCGACGAAUAAGCCCCGGCUAAUUACGUG
This 496-nucleotide ribosomal RNA is filed under the name uncultured bacterium. RNAcentral's name for it is "partial 16S ribosomal RNA". It matches the Rfam family "Bacterial small subunit ribosomal RNA", at positions 29 to 507 of the family's 1533-position model. The record is from RNAcentral.